This 253-nucleotide ribosomal RNA is filed under the name uncultured bacterium. RNAcentral describes it as "partial 16S ribosomal RNA". It matches the Rfam family "Bacterial small subunit ribosomal RNA", at positions 524 to 776 of the family's 1533-position model. The record is from RNAcentral.
UACGUAGGAGGCGAGCGUUGUCCGGAGUUACUGGGCGUAAAGGGUGCGCAGGCGGUUUUGUAAGCCAGAUGUGAAAUCCCCGGGCUUAACCUGGGAAUGGCAUUUGGGACUGCAAGGCUUGAGUUUGGCAGAGGAGACUGGAAUUCCUGGUGUAGCAGUGAAAUGCGUAGAUAUCAGGAGGAAUACCGAUGGCGAAGGCAGGUCUCUGGGCUAGAACUGACGCUCAUGCACGAAAGCGUGGGGAGCAAACAGG